Molecule: ribosomal RNA, 117 nt
Filed under: Carassius auratus (goldfish)
Lineage: Eukaryota; Metazoa; Chordata; Actinopteri; Cypriniformes; Cyprinidae
Source: RNAcentral
GCUUACGGCCAUACAACCUGGCUAUGCCCGAUCUCGUCUGAUCUCGGAAGCUAAGCAGGUUUGGGCCUGGUUAGUACUUGGAUGGGAGACCGCCUGGGAUACCGGGUGCUGUAAGCU